GUAGUGUUGCGUGGUUUCCAUGGUAACCAGACUCACCCUCUCUGAACCGUCCUCUGGCUCACACGGCAGGGUAAAGACAGCGCGACUUUUUGUUGUUUCACUGCAUUUAAAGGUGCUGCAAUGAUGUCAGCCUCUCAAGAUCAGCAGGUAGAAAACACAAAAACAUGUCUGAACCCCGGAAACCCAGUUUUCUCCUGCAUGAUGUCUCCAGCGCAGCGUGCAAAGACUAACAAUCCUUUGUACAGGACCACUUCCAGAGACUAUGGUCUCCUCUCUCCAUCCUUUGAAAGCUCACCGUGCAGUUUCCACCCUAAAUCACAAAGAUUCUCUGAACACCUGGGCAAGAGCGGGAUGUAUCGUGACAACUCCUUGAAUACAGCCGUGGACCGAAGCAGGGUGUAUGACUGCCCUAAUUUAAAGCACACCAUCUAGAUGCACGGUUGACCUAAUAUGCCCAAAUUUUGAGACAUCAAACUGACCCACAGAAGUUUACCAAAGCCUUGAACAUGGACCUGGACCCACCCCACCUUCAGUUCCUCUCUGUUAUAUUGUCCUGUUGUAUAUUGUAUAUUAAUAAAUGUGACCUUGACAACAAAUAAAAUGAUCCUUCAUUUU
Long non-coding RNA from Larimichthys crocea (large yellow croaker), 615 nucleotides. RefSeq lists it as uncharacterized. The record is from RefSeq and is a predicted model, not a curated record. NCBI's taxonomy places the organism in Eukaryota, Metazoa, Chordata, Actinopteri, Sciaenidae. The transcript is spliced from 3 exons.